UUAGACCGUCGUGAGACAGGUUAGUUUUACCCUACUGAUGAAGUUCGCCGCAACGGUAAUUCAAUUUAGUACGAGAGGAACCGUUGAUUCAGAUAAUUGGUUUCUGCGGCUGUCUGACAAGGCAUUGCCGCGACGCUACCAUCUGCCGGAUUAUGGCUGAACGCCUCUAAGUCAGAAUCCGUGCCGGAAAGCGGCGACACCUGCCCCGCACGUUGUAGCUGGAUACAGAUAGGCCUCGGCCCCGAACCACAGCGGGCCGGCACCGGCGCCUCGGCGCCAGCCGGCGGAUUGCAAUGUCACCACGCGCGGGGAUAGAUCCUCUGCAGACGACCGAAGUGAGCAAGCGGGUCGUGUAAGCGGUCAAGUAGCCUUGUUGUUACGAGUCGCUGAGCGUCAGCCCGAUCCUUGCCUGGAUUUGU
RNAcentral lists this ribosomal RNA (419 nucleotides) under Trichophyton rubrum. RNAcentral describes it as "eukaryotic LSU rRNA". It matches the Rfam family "Eukaryotic large subunit ribosomal RNA", at positions 2963 to 3401 of the family's 3401-position model. Lineage: Eukaryota; Fungi; Ascomycota; Eurotiomycetes; Onygenales; Arthrodermataceae. The record is from RNAcentral.